ACGGUUCUUUGGUGAUUCAUAGUAACUUUUCGAAUCGCAUGACUUUACGUCGGCGAUGGUUCAUUCAAAUUUCUGCCCUAUCAAGUUUCGAUGGUAGGAUAGAGGCCUACCAUGCUUGUUUACGGGUAACGGCGAAUUAGGGUUCGAUUCCGGAGAGGGAGCCUGAGAAACGGCUACCACAUCUAAGGAAGGCAGCAGGCGCGCAAAUUACCCAAUCCUGAUUCAGGGAGGUAGUGACAAUAAAUAACAAUCCAGGACUUCGGUCUUGGAAUUGGAAUGAGAACAAUUUAAAUCUCUUAUCGAGGAACAAUUGGAGGGCAAGUCUGGUGCCAGCAGCCGCGGUAAUUCCAGCUCCAAUAGCGUAUAUUAAAGUUGUUGCAGUUAAAUAGCUCGUAGUUGAAUCUUGGGGCUGGUUUGGCGGUCGCGUCUUUGACGUGUACUGUCGGCCGGUUCUUUUACUUGUGGGGAACGUAUGUGCCCUUUGCGGGGUGUGUACGGGAACCAUGGCUGUUACUUUGAAAAAAUUAGAGUGUUUAAAGCGGGCGUAAGCUUGUAUACAUUAGCAUGGAAUAAUAGAAUAGGACUUUGGUUUUAUUUUGUUGGUUUCUAGGGCCGAAGUAAUGAUUACUAGGGAUAGUUGGGGGCAUUAGUUAUUUAAUAGUCAGCAGGUGAAAUUCUUGGAUUAUUGAAAGAUAAUUCUGGGAAAGCAUUUGCCAGGGAUGUUUUCCAUUAAUCAAGAAGGAAGGUCAGGGGAUCGAAGAUGAUCAGAUACCGUCGUAGUCUGACGUAAUUAUGCCGACUAGGAUC
Molecule: ribosomal RNA, 807 nt
Filed under: uncultured fungus
Lineage: Eukaryota; Fungi
Description: SSU rRNA
Rfam family: Eukaryotic small subunit ribosomal RNA
Source: RNAcentral